Molecule: long non-coding RNA, 450 nt
Organism: Neltuma alba
Lineage: Eukaryota; Viridiplantae; Streptophyta; Magnoliopsida; Fabales; Fabaceae
Exons: 2
Source: RefSeq, a predicted model, not a curated record
GUUCGUGGCCAUGGACGGCAUCCUCAAACUCUAGGUCUCUAUCGUUGCCUGGAAGGGACAAAUAUCAUAGUUGCACAAGAUAGAGUUCUCACUAAUUCUGAAGGGUUAGAAGACAAUUGGCUCUUGAUAGAAGUGUAGCUUUGGAUGUGGUGAGGAAGAGGCACUUUUUCAUAUUUUUAGAGAAUGUCUCAGAGCUCGUGCUUGCUGGUAUAGAAUUGUUGGGGAAGCGAUUGGUCCAAAUCAGUGGUGGAAUGAUGAAGAGUACAGGGAUGAAGAUUUCUGAAUGUAGAUUUGUCGGCUAGGAGAGCUCUCUAGUUUGACUUUGUUUUUUUCAAUGUAUUAUUCAGUGCCAGGUGAAUGUAAAUACAAAUAUGUUAUUAGAAGGCUAAUCGGGCAGAUGUAAUUAAUUUUUUAAGAAAAUAAGCUGCAAAUGUUAUUUCAUCUUAUGCU